RNAcentral lists this unclassified non-coding RNA (351 nucleotides) under soil metagenome. RNAcentral's name for it is "partial contains 5.8S ribosomal RNA, internal transcribed spacer 2, and large subunit ribosomal RNA". The stretch from base 1 to 120 matches the Rfam family "5.8S ribosomal RNA", at positions 35 to 154 of the family's 154-position model. The record is from RNAcentral.
GAUGAAGAACGUAGCGAAAUGCGAUAAGUAGUGUGAAUUGCAGAAUUCAGUGAAUCAUCGAAUCUUUGAACGCACAUUGCGCCCGCCAGUAUUCUGGCGGGCAUGCCUGUUCGAGCGUCAUUACAACCCUCAGGCCCCCGGGCCUGGCGUUGGGGAUCGGCGGAGCCCCCCGUGGGCACACGCCGUCCCCCAAAUACAGUGGCGGUCCCGCCGCAGCUUCCAUCGCGUAGUAGCUAACACCUCGCGACUGGAGAGCGGCGCGGCCACGCCGUAAAACACCCAACUCUUCUGAAGUUGACCUCGAAUCAGGUAGGAAUACCCGCUGAACUUAAGCAUAUCAAAAGCGGAGGA